CCUGAGACUCAGCGAAGUUGAAAUGUUUGUGAAGAUGCAAUCUCCCCGCGGCUAGACGGAAAGACCCCAUGAACCUUUACUGUAGCUUUGCAUUGGACUUUGACGGGACUUGUGUAGGAUAGGUGGGAGGCUAUGAAACCGGGACGCCAGUUCCGGUGGAGCCAACCUUGAAAUACCACCCUGGUGUCGUUGAGGUUCUAACCCAGGCCUGUGAAUCCAGGUCGGGGACCGUGCAUGGUGGGCAGUUUGACUGGGGCGGUCUCCUCCCAAAAGGUAACGGAGGAGUACGAAGGUCACCUAGGUACGGUCGGACAUCGUACUGAUAGUGCAAUGGCAAAAGGUGGCUUGACUGCGAGUCCAACAAGACGAGCAGGUGCGAAAGCAGGUCAU
Molecule: ribosomal RNA, 390 nt
Filed under: Enterococcus faecalis
Lineage: Bacteria; Bacillati; Bacillota; Bacilli; Lactobacillales; Enterococcaceae
Description: partial 23S ribosomal RNA
Rfam family: Bacterial large subunit ribosomal RNA
Source: RNAcentral